CGAGGAGCACGCGAGCAAGCACGCGAACUGCCCACGUGAAGUUCCUUCUGUUUUAGGCCUCGCUUCAUCUGCAGAACACAGCGAGUUUUUUCCUCCGAAAGACCUGUUCCUCUGGACGUGCUUCUGUCUUGUAGCGGGAGGCUACCAGCCGUCACGAAGACCUCAUCGCGUGUCACAAUUUCGCGCCGUCUUACGGCUCCUUGCCAACGUGUCUGGUCAGACCGCUCAAGAAUUCUGUAGAAAGUAACGCAACUUUCGAGUUGGGGACAGGCGAGGGAAUCCUCAAAUAGGUGACGGAAGUGACCCACCAUCAUGCAAGUCUCCGCCUGCGCGAAGCUCAUCACCGGCCUAGCUCGUACCACGUGGACAGCGACAUUCGAAAUAUCAGACGCUGCCCAACACCUCGGCCUGGACGUGGCCCAAACGGAAUUGACAUUAGUAGCCUACUGCGAUCGGCUCGUCCAGAGUCACGUUCUUCUAUGACGUGGACGAGUGGACGCCGAAUGAACGCCAUCAGAAGGUGAGCGUACGGUACUCGCGUCAACUUCGGCUCGCCCACUGCCUCGGUGUGGCGUCUGAAGUCCUACUUGAAUUUAUUGCGAAAUGCCUCGAGCUCCGCUGUGCAAACCUCAUCGCCGAGCCACCGGCGUUCUUUCAGCUGCUGUCUCAGAUGCUGGUAUACCUGAAGAUGAUGCGAUGGUCUCUCUACGAGGACGGCCGCUACGAGUCUUGGCUGGAGAAAGACGCCGUUGCGGAUAUCGGCUCGCAAUGCCAGCUGCAGACUCUCAAGCUCGAUACCGUCUACGCGGACUUCGUAGCGACACCGCUGGUAGCCGACUUCUUGAACAACGUCUCGAACGGCUGCGACGACCAGCAGUUCGUGAAGUUCGUGAUCGCUCUACGUACGAAACUGCCAAUUUUAUUUGCACCUAAAUCAAAGUAAACCUUAGAAAAGUGCGCGUCCUUUAUUCUUAGUCCCCAAAAUAUUUGUUUCCUUAUUUGUUAUUUUACUCCAUGUUCAAUAAUGAAUGAUUUAUUACUGUUGAA
Dermacentor albipictus is the source of this 1047-nucleotide long non-coding RNA. RefSeq lists it as uncharacterized. Lineage: Eukaryota; Metazoa; Arthropoda; Arachnida; Ixodida; Ixodidae. The record is from RefSeq and is a predicted model, not a curated record.